UUCAAUCAAAGUAACGGAGAAAGGGGGAACCCAAAGGUUCUGCGCCGUUCGGCCAUCAUUUCAUCACUGCGACGAUGAAUGACGACCUUCGGUGACCACCCCCUUUUUGCUCCUUCAUUCGAUCCGGCAUGGAACUCAUUGAUUUAAGCCCCGAAAUCUCAUCUCCGACUUCAGUUUCAGCGAAGGAGACAAGGUCUUCAAUGGCUCGUAUGCAAAGGUAAAGUUUCACUCUCCCUCUUUUAUUUUAUUAUACAGAAACAUGUGAAAACGAAAGAAAUAUGAAACAGAUGCGAAAAAGAAAAAAAAAGCACAAGGCGUUCGAAAAGAUCACCUUCUUGUUCUAUUGCUUUCUUAUUGAUUUGCUGUCUGUAUUUGUAUUUGUGUGUCCCUCCCCCAAAAAAACUUUACAAUAAAAAAUCAAUAGGCUUUUAUAGCCGAAUGUAAAAAAAAUAAGUAAAAAUGAAAUACAAUUCUUCUUUUUUCGUCUUUGCUGUUUUUGUCUGUUCUCCUUUGCAGGUACCAGUACGGGGCUGUGCGUUGGCCAUUGGCGCGAGGUGUACGGGGUGGUGCUAGCAUGUGUACGGGAGGGUGCGUGGCGCCAGGAGGAUGCUGGGGUUGCUGGUUGCGGCGCAUGGGAAGAACCCUAAGGUUCUAAAAUUUCUAGGCCACUUCGGGUGUUCAUAUUUAGGCUGUAAGGCUAAUGGUUUUUUUGUAAUGGGACUAAAGUAUUAGUAAUGGGGUCAUGCUAUUGGGCUUAUGCUAUGUAAUUGGACUUUAAGUAUUUAAGGGACUGUUAUGAUUUUAUUUAUUUAUUUAUUUAUUAUAUAGUUUUGGGAUUUCUUUAGCGGGCCCGGGCCAAAAUUGGUCACUAAAGCUGCCCCUCUUUGCUCAUUGUCGUGUAACGAGAAUAAAGCAAAGACUAUAAAUGGGCCAAUUUUGCCGGGACCUGUUGAGCCUGGACUUCUUGGCGCUUCUUUUCUUCAAGUAGCUUCAGUAUGCUCCACUGCAACUUCAGGGAGACAUGGUUCGUGUGUUUAUUAUCCUGCUCUACUGCAACUUCAGAUAGAUAAGGAUUGUGACUUUGAUUUUGCUCCACUGGAACUUCAGGGAGACAAAAUCUUGCAAUCUUCAACCUGUUGCUCUACUACUUAGAGGGUUAAGGCUCGUUUUCUCUAACCUGCUCCACUGGAGAUGAGAUCUGCAAUUGUCAACCUACUCCACUACAACUUUAGGGAUCUAGGGUGAUGGCUUAAAUCUGCUUCACUGCAACUUCAGGAAGUCAAGAUUCAUCAUAUUCAAUCUGCUCCACUGUAACUUCGAGGAAACGAGAUCUAAAAUUUCAACCUACUCCACUACAACUUUAGGGAGCUAGGUUAGUGACUUAAAUCUGCUUCACUGUAACCUCAGGAAGUCGAGAUUCGUCGUCUUCGAUCUGCUCCACUGCAACUUCAGGGAAACGAGAUCUAAAAUUUCAACCUACUCCACUACAACUUUAGGGAGCUAGGUUAGUGACUUAAAUAUGCUUCACUACAACCUCAGGAAGUCGAGAUUCGUUGUCUUCGAUCUGCUCCACUGCAACUUCAGGGAAACGGGAUCUAAAAUUUUAACCUACUCCACUACAACUUUAGGGAGCUAGGCUAGUGACUUAAAUCUGCUUCACUGCAACCUCAGGAAGUCGAGAUUCGUCGUCUUCGAUCUGCUCCACUGCAACUUCAGGGAAACAAGGUCUAAAAUUUUAACCUACUCCACUACAACUUUAGGGAGCUAGGUUAGUGACUUAAAUCUGCUUCACUGCAACCUCAAGAAGUCGAGAUUCGUCGUCUUUGAUCUGCUCCACUGCAACUUCAGGGAAACAGGAUCUGUGGGAUUCGCCAAUGUCACUACACUAUCUUCUAAUGACAUGAUUUGUAGAAUUGGUUUCAUGUAUCAAAUAAUUGGGAUGCUAUGAUCGAGAUGAAUCAUAUGUCCCUAACUAGAUGUGGUGUCUAUGUCAGAUAAUUAAAAUGGCAUGAUCGAAAUGAAUCAAGUGCUCCUAAAUGAAUGAUUAUGAAUGUGGAAAUGUUAUGAGAGUGAUUCUUUUCUAAAUGCUUAAGGUAUCAUUGCUCAUAACUCGUCCGGGUUCCAUCAUUGAUGUGCUAUCGCGUCUUCUUACUUAGCCGUUAUCUCUGACAGAAAAUUUGAAGAAAUAGUCCUAAUUUGGAUUUCUCUUUUUCUAAUAUUUUCCAACUUUGAACCUGGUUAGUCCUAACUAGUGGCCCUGUUUCAGGUCCUUGUACUAUUUAGAGACUUUACAGAGUAAUAUGCAUAACGUCUUUUGUGUGAAUAUUACAUGUCCAAAAAUUUCAAUUUCAACAAAAAUGCUCGAAAGAGAUUAUAAUAAUGGACAAAUGGCAUUUUAUUAAGCAAAAUUUUGAUGUAAAUACAUAGGAAUAUGAAUCUGAUAAGGUGCAAAAAAUGAGAAAAAGGUGCCUCAGAUAUCGCAGCACGAGUUUCACUAUUCUAAUUUCUCAAAGGUUCCUUUGAACCAAAUGUGUAUUUAAGAGAUCCUACGCAUUUUGUUGAUGCUCCAAGGUGUACUGUUCUUCUGUCUUGUUGAUUUUGGAAGGACAAGACUACCAUAUGCCCCAUAUUCAAAAUUUGAUCUGCCCGUUUUCGGGUUUUCAACUCAAAAGCCAAUUUAGUUCCAAAGUGCCCUUUAUGGGUUUUCACCUUGGCCUCUCCCUUUUUUUUUUGGAUUUCAGAGUGCUCUUUGCGGGUUUUCACUCUGGCCUCUCUUUCUUCAGGUAAAAUACUUCUUGACCGAAUCCGAGUUUACAAGAUUGGGCAAGCUUCUACCAUCCAUCUCAGCUAGAACCAAUGCUCCUCCGGAGAAAGCUUUCUUCACCACAAAAGGUCAUUCCCAAUUAGGCAUCCAUUUCCCUCGAAAAUCCUUCUGUAUGGGAAUGAUCUUUUUCAAAACCAGGUCUCCUUCGUGAAAUUCUCUAGGGUGGACAUUUUUGUCAUAAGCUCGCAUCAUUCGCCUUUGGUACAUCUGACCGUGACGGAUAGCUCUUAGCCUCUUUUCCUCAAUUAGGUUCAAUUGAUUAUAUCGAGACUGGAUCCACUCGGCUUCUUCUAACUUUAACUCUGAAAAUACUCUAAGGGACGGGAUCUCGACUUCGAUAGGCAAAACUGCUUCUAUUCCGUAGACCAAGGAGAAAGGCGUUGCCCCAGUUGAGGUUCUGACUGAUGUUCGAUAAGCAAAGAGGGCAAAUGGUAACUUCUCGUGCCAGUCUCUGUAGGUCUCGGUCAUCUUCCCCACAAUCUUCUUAAUGUUUUUAUUGGCCGCUUCCACUUCCCCAUUCAUCUUUGGGCGAUACGGUGACGAGUUGUGAUGUCUGAUCUUGAAUUGACUGCAGACUUCCGCCAUCGUACUAUUGUUCAAGUUUAAUGCAUUGUCAGAUAUGAUCCUCUCUGGCAUUCCAUAUCGACAUAUGAUCUCAUUUUUUAGAAACUUGCUCACUGCCGACUUCGUCACACUAGCAUACGAAGCGGCUUCUACCCAUUUGGUAAAGUAAUCGAUAACCACAAAAAUAAACCGAUGCCCAUUGGAAGCUUUCGGCGAUAUUGGUCCAAUCACAUCCAUGCCCCACAUAGAGAAUGGCCAUGGAGAAACCAUGACAUGCAGCAGUGAAUGAGGUACAUGGAUUUUGUCUAGAUUUGGCAUUUAUGGCAUCUCUUAGCGUAAUUGACACAGUCUCCUUCCAUGGUGGACCAAUAAUACCCGAAUCUCAUAACUUUCCUAGCCAUUGUAAAGCCAUUAGCGUGUGUCCCACAGACGCCUUCAUGGACUUCUUCCAAGAUUCUCUUAGUCUCUACAGCGUCUACACAUCUUAGUAGUACUUGAUCCUUUCUUAUUUUGUAUAAGAUAUCCCCAUCUAAGACAUAGUCGAUGGCCAAUCUUCUUAGUUUUCUUUUGUCAUUCUCACUUGCCUGGUCCGGGUAUUCAUGAUUCUUCACGUAUUGCAAUAUAUCGUGAUACCAAGGGUGAUCAUCUUUUUCCUCAUCUUCUUCAAUAUUGUAACAGUGGGCCGAAACUUCAUAAAUGCUCAUCUGGAUGGGUUUGACAUCUUCUUGUUUGUUCACCUUGAUCAUGGAGGCUAAGGUAGCCAAAGCAUCAGCCAUCUGAUUUUUAUCUCGUAGAAGGUAGUGGAAGGUAAUGUCAUCAAACUCUUUAACCAAUUCUAGGACUAGCUUCCGAUAAUCAAUUAACUUGGGGUCUCUAGUCUCCCAUUCUCCCCUGAGUUGAUAAAUCACUAGCGCAGAAUCCCUAUACACCUCUAGCACUCUAAUCUUGCGUUCUAUGGCUGCGCGGAUACCCAUGAUGCACGCUUCAUAUUCCGCCAUAUUGUUUGUACAAUCAAAAUCCAAUUUAUUAGUGAAUGGAUAAUGAUCUCCGUUUGGGGAUACCAAGACGGCUCCAAUUCCAUUGCCCACAGCAUUUGACGCCCCAUCGAAGUUCAGUUUCCAAGGAAGUUCUUCCAGAGCAUCUUCUUCAGUGAUAGCAAUACACAUUAGGUCUUCAUUCGGAAAGUCGAAGUUCAGAGGCUCGUAGUCUUCCAAAGCUCUACUGGCCAGAAAAUCUUCUAUUGCACUUCCUUUUACUGCUUUCUGGUUCACAUAGACUAUAUCGAAUUCAGAAAGCAGAAUCUGCCAUCGGGCGAUCCUUCCAUUCAAGGCUGUUGACUCCAUCAUGUACUUUAAAGGGUCCUAUUUUGAUAUGAGCCAAGUGGUGUGAUACAACAUAUACUGCCUCAGCCUUCGGGUUGUCCAAAUUAGGGCACAACACAACUUCUCCAUCGGCAGGUACAUUGUCUCACAUUCUGUGAACUUUUUACUAAAAUAGUAAAUUGCCUUCUCUUUCUUUCCUGACUUAUCAUGCUGACCCAAUACGCAUCCCAUGGAAUUCUCGAAUACUGCCAAGUACAGUAUUAACGGCUUAUCGGGGUUAGGUGGUAUCAGCACCAGGGCAAUGGAUAAGUACUGUUUGACCUUGUCGAAAGCCCUUUGGCAUUCUUUAUCCCAUUCUCUUGGGUUAUGUUUCUUGAGGAGGCGAAAGCAGGGUCACAUUUCUCAGUUAGUUGUGAAAUGAAAUGAGCAAUGUCAUUUAAUCUUCCUAGAAAGCCUCGAACUUCUUUCUGAGUGCGCGGCGGAGAUAGUUCUUGUAUGGCUUUAACUUUGUCUGGAUCGAUCUCGAUCCCUUUCUCACUAACCACAAAUCCGAGUAACUUUCCAGACUUGGCUCCAAAGGCACAUUUGGCGGGGUUGAGUUUUAGCUGAAACUUUCUCAACCUCAAGAAUAAUUUCCUCAGGACUUGUAUGUGCUCCUUCUCCGUUCGAGAUUUAGCGAUCAUAUCAUCGACAUAAACCUCAAUCUCUUUAUGCAUCAUGUCGUGAAAAAGGGUUACCAUGGCUCUUUUAUAGGUUGCCCUCGCAUUCUUUAGUCCAAACGACAUUGCCUUGUAGUAGAACGUCCCCCACAUAGUUACAAAUGUGGUCUUUUCCAUAUCCUCAGGAUGCAUAUUGAUUUGGUUAUAUCCAGAAAAACCGUCCAUGAAUGAAAACAGUGAGUGUCCUGCCAUGUUGUCCACUAGGGUGUCGAUAUGAGGUAGUGGAAAAUUGUCCUUCGGGCUGGCUUUAUUCAAAUAUCUGUAGUCCACACACAUUCGCACUUUUCCAUCUUUCUUAGGGACAGGGACGAUAUUGGCUACCCAAUCUGAGUAUUUUACUACCUUCAGAAAUCCAGCGUUAAACUGCUUUCGAACAUCUUCCUUUAUUUUUAGCAAGACGUCGGGCCUCAUUCUUCGGAGUUUUUACUGAACUGGCUUACACUCUUCUUUUAUGGGGAGUCGGUGCACCACGAUAUCAGUGUCCAACCCAGGCAUAUCUUGGUAUAACCAUGCGAAUACAUCCUUGAAUUCUUAAAGUAAUUCAAUGAGGUCUCACGUAGUGAUACAUGUUCCGAUCUUCACCUCUUGUCCUUCUCCUAAGCUCACAAUUUCAAUUGAUUCUUUGUGAAGUAGGAUUUGUUUCUCAUCUUGUUCUACCAUCCUCAACAAAUCAAGAGAUAGGUUACAGCCUUAGUCAUCUUCAAAAUCUUGAGAAUCAUCCAUACACACAUCUUGCUUGAAAGGAAAUUCUGAGUCGCUAGCAGUGUCACUCGUAUCAUUAAUAUCUAGGGACCUAUUGUGAAGAUGAAGGCAGAUACAAAGAAUCAAAAGAAUUCGAAACAUUUAUUUGCGUGAUAUGAUUAUGAAUGACGAAUGAAAGAAUAUUUAGAAGAAUGUUUCAAAAAUAAAAGAAUUCGAAAGUAAUCAUUUGUAUGGUUAUGAAUAGAAUUGAAAGGACGAGAUAACAUUUACUCAAAAAUGAUAAUAACCGUGCAUUUUAUUGAAAUAUCGCUUUUAAACAUCAGCCUAUUUCACAAAAGAUUCUUAUCACUCCUAGGCCUAGAGCAAUAAGUGUGUUUUGGACAUUACUCUGAAUCUGUUCUAAAAACUACAAGGAUCUCUUCCGCAGUCCAGUUGUCCAGAACACUUCCAGGCGUGUAGAGGCAAAUGUCGGACAAAUUUUCUCUUCCAGUCUCCUCUUCGUAUAUGACGUUGAUGUCUAAACUUUCCGGGCUUUCUUCUAUAGCUCCCGUCAUUGGUGUGUCUCUCUCGGGAUGAAUGAUUCCCCCAGACACAAAUGUUUUCGAUAUGUGGGGGAAUGUCAUUGGUUCCCACUUGAUUUCCUCCCCCGUUAAUCGAGUUCUCCUUCUUUCUUGCUUCUUUUCCAGCUCCCUUCUCCUUUGUUUCACAUCCAGCUUAAAUCCUAAGCCGAAGCAGUCUCCCUUUUCUUUCAGCAUUGGUGUUUCGAUCCUUCUUUGUAGAUGUCUUCCAAGUCCCCUUCCUAGUAGGGCCCCUUUUCUAAUCGUCAACUGGAGGCUCAUCCUCGUGGUUUUAGACAAUUUCGGCACCAGAAUUUUGCUUUCCUCGGCGAUGAACGUCGCGUUAACAAAUUCCAAAGAUCGAAAUGAGCAUUCGAUUGCUUCGUCAUCUAUUUCCAAAUAGGGUGCAUUAUUGCUCACAGUUGCAAUAAUAUCUUCUUCAGCCUUAAUCGUUAUCAACCUCCCCUCCGACACCAGCUUCAAUUUUUGAUGCAACGAGGAAGGCACUGCCCCAGCUGAAUGUAUCCAGGGCCUCCCCAACAAGCAAUUGUAUGAGGGCUUGAUAUCCAUCACGAGAAAAUCCACCUCAUAUGUUUUUGGCCCAAUCUGGAGAGGCACCUCAAUUCUGCCCAUCACCUUUCUUUCCGUGCCAUCGAAUGCCUUCAUGAUGUUCUGGCACUCCUUCAUGUGAGAGCUGUCUAUAGGUAAUCUGUUCAGCGUGGUCAAUGGCAGGACGUUCAAAUCUGAUCCAUUGUCAAUCAGUACGCCUGGCAGCGUGUACCUUUUACAGCGUGUGGUGAUAUGCAGAGCUUUAGUCGACCCCAUGCCCUCGGGUGGUAUCUUGUCGUCAUUAAAGAAGAUAUAAUUUUUGGCACUUAUGUUGUUCACCAACCAGUACAGCUUGUUAACAGAGAUAUCAUUGGCAACAUAUGUCUCGUUUAAGACCUUCAUUAGUGCGCUACGAUAAACUUCCGAGCUUAGAAGCAAGGCCAGCACUGAAAUGCGGGUUGGUUGUUUACGUAGUUGUUCCACCACACUGUAUUCGCUAUGCUUUAGAAAUUUUAAAAACUCCUUGGCCUCCUCUUCGUUAACUGGCUCAUUAACAAGUUUGGCUGCUUUUCCCUUCAUUUCCUCGACCACCUGGGCUUUUCCUUUUGUGGGCUGUUCCUCCUCAUUCACCGUAUCAUAACGCCUCCUGCUACGUGUAUAGGAACCUCUGUCUUGAUCCCCUCUUGAAACACCAACUGGGCUCUCUUUUUCUGGUAUCGUCACACUGCAAUCAUAAUUCCAUGGGACCUUUUUGCUGUCUUUGUUAGGGAAGACUGCAGGUCUUUAGAUUAUAACCCUCGGUGGUAUUUGUUCUCCAGCUUCAUUAUUUUUGGGUCUCGAAAUGAUCACCACGGGAUAAUUAGGUGUUUGAUUUUGCGCCUUUGAUUCUCCUUCGGAUGCGCAUACAUUUCCCUCUAUGGGGCUUUUAGCUUCUUCAUAGAAUUCCAUUUCUUUGUUAUCCAUCAUGUUCUGCACGAUGGCCCUGAAUUCCACACAUUCUUGGAUUUCAUGCCCCACCUCGUCAUGAAACUCACAGUAGUUUCUCUCUUCUUCGGGUUUUUCCCUUGGAUCAAAUGAUAUCAAUCCUCUCUUGGCCAUCUCUUUCCAUACCCGUAUCAACGGGGUCCUGACUUCUGCCACCUCAUACUUGGUCUUCUUGUUCAAGCCUUCACUUAUCCCAUUCACUCAUUGGUCGGUAUGAUUGGGGAGUGGGUUUCCUGCUACAUUGGGCGUGGCUGGGUCAUCAAAUCUCACGAUUCCCACCUUAAUGAGUCUUUCGACCACUUUCUUGAACGCAAUGCAAUUUUCGAUUGAGUGCCCAGUAAUUCCUGCGUGGUAUUCACAUUGGGCAUUUUUGUCAUCCAUUUGGGAUACGGGGGUUGCAGUGGCUCCAAGUAGAAAGGGGAUACUACAUGAGCGUUGAACAGGUUCUGGUACAACUCCCUAUACGUCAUGGGUAUAGAGGUGAAUUGUAGCCUUUCUGUGUUCUUCCUCAUAUUGGAUUCUUGUCUUACAGAGCUUUUUUGAUUGGUAGUCACCGUUUUGGGUUGAUUUACAGUAAUUGACUUAGACUGCCCCUUGUUGAAUGUGCUCGUGUUGUUUACUUCAUUGUCUCUUUUCCUCGGGGCUGACUUCCUAGCAUUCUCUCCUGAUUCUAUCUUGCCGCUCCUUACAGCAUUCUCGAUCAUUUCCCCAAUCAUCACUAUGUCAGAGAAGCUCUUGGUGGCGCUUCCUAACAUAUGCGUGAUAAAAAGGGCUUUCUAGGUGUUAAAAAAGGACAUUGUUGUCUCUUUUUCUAGAAGCGACGGCUGAACUUGUAUGGCCACUUCUCUCCACAUUUGUGCGUACUGUCUGAAGCUUUCAUUUGACUUUUUUUCCAUAUUCUGGAGAGUGAUUCUAUCGGGGGUCAUGUCCAUCACAUGACUGUAUUGCUUCAUAAAGGCCUGGGCCAGGUCCUUCCACGAGUUAAUCUUAGAGCGACUUAAUUGGUUGUACCACUUAGACGCCACCCCGACCAGACUAUCUUGAAAGCAGUAGAUUAAUAGCUGGUCAUUAUUAACAUAUCCCGUUAUACGCCUACAGAACAUAGUGAUAUGAGCUUCAGGGCAACUUGUUCCAUUAUAUUUCUCGAAUUCGGGCAUUUUGAAUUUAGGAGGAAGAACUAAAUCUAGGACCAAACUCAGGUCCUUGGCAUCAAUCCCUUGAUGAUGAUCAGCGCUUUCCAUAGCUUUAAAUUUUUCCUCAAGCCAUCUACACCGUUCUUCCAAUUGUUUUUGCGAAUCCAUCCUCGCCUUUUCUUCUUCAGCAAUUUCAUCCAAGUCGGGAACGGAUAGAUAGUUUGGGUUGUUGACAAAGUUGGAGCCUGAGCCGGUUUGGAAAUUCAUCGGUAUUAAAGCUCCAGCCUGAACCUGCUAGGGUAUGAUCGUGACAGAUGGCUUCGGUAAAUUAAUCUCGGGCUUCAUUGGUACAUGUGUCGGAGUGAAGCCAAAGGGGUAUUGAGGAUCCUCAUUAGUUUCUCCAGCUUUAUCCAUGGGGCCCUUUCCCUUAUCCGUUCCUCCCAACAGCAAUUGGGAUAACUGACUCAUCAUUUCCCUCUGGGACUCCAUCAUUUGCUCUUUCAUCUCUCGCUGAAUCUUGGCUAGCUGCUCUUGCAUCUGAGACUGCAUUUGUUCUUGCAUGUCUUUUUACAUUUGUUCCAAUUUCUCGAGUCUCUUAUCCAUUGAUUUUUUCCUUGUACCAUAGGGGUGUGUGGUUGAUUGGUUUUUACUGGUUUCCAGGUUACUGAAAUAAUUUUUAGCUAAUUAAUUAGAAAACUCUUAUGGCCUUUAAUGCAUAAUGAUAUGAUGUAAUGAAAAUGCAUGAAUGCAAAGGAGGCAUCAAUUUUGAUUCAAUUGCCCUUAGAAAAUUUUAUUUGUAAAUAAAAUCUUUUACAUAAAGUCGAGUUACAAAUAAAAUUUCGCUCUAAUACUCAAAAUUCUAAUUUUUCUAAGCAAUGAGGCCAGCUCCUGCCCGUGCUCCGACUCCAACUCAUAUUUUACGCUUAGUGUGUCUGCCUGAACCGCUAAAGUUUGCAAGUAGUCCGCUACCUCCCGAAUCUGGGUUAUGGCUUCCCCCAUAAGGUAAUCUCUGUUUCUGACUUGGUCUUGUGCAUGGUAAAGCUGCUCCUUCCAACGAUCCUCGUUUGCCUCGAAAAACUGGAUCCGCAUCUCACAAUUUUGUACUGACGCCUCUAACUCUUCUAUUCUUCCUUUCAUUUCUUGUAUUUUGUUCAAGCUUGCCCUCAAUUCUGUCGCAGUGUUGCGGUUUCGGUACUGGUGUAGGGACUUCUCAAGUUCUGCCACUCUAACCUUUAAUUCCCCUCACUCAUUUUUGCUUUCUGACAGACUUCUCUCCAAAUCUUUGUUUUGUGCUUGAGCUUAUCGAAAUUUCCUUUCCCACCGGUCGGUAUUGGCUUUUUCUUCCCGAAUUUCAAGGCGCCAUUGUUCGGAAGUCUUACCUAAACCCGCAGUCCUCAUAGAUAGGCGUAACUUCUUGUAGUCCGUUUUCAAACUGUCUAGAUCUUCUUCAGCCUUAGUUUUUCCUUUUCUCCACUUCUCAGCCUCUGACCUCUGGACAUCAGCCUCUAAUCUUAGGUGCAUCUUCUCUUCCUCUAAUUGUUCAAUCUUCUUCCCAAGCUCCAAAAUCUUCUUCUCGAAAUCUUAUUUUAUAAUCUCCAAUUCUGAUGGGGCGACUUGUAAUUGUUCCUCGAUCGGCCGAGAAUUCUCCAAGCUUGGCCUAGGAAUAUUAUCAUUAAUCCUCUUCUUAAACCAUUCGCUGUACUCGGGUGUUACCAUGGAACCGACGGCUAACCUCUUCAUCCAACCAGUUUACUUCCAAGCAUCCGAUAACUCCCGAACUCUCUUCUUAUAGUGAGCACCUUUAAACGAGAAUUCACUCUGAGCAAGUCCGUGGGUCGUGGGUACAAACUGCCUCGACUUAUAUUGCCUCAAGGCUAUUAACGGAGUAUACCCGGUAGCUCCCCAGAUUCCUAACAAUGGCACCCAAUCGAAGUUACCACAUCGGUACAUUUUCUCAUCAGGAACCAUCCAAUAAGCUCUCCACUCGAUAUCUUCCUCCUUGAGGUUCUGAAAAAUAUCCAUCCACUUCUCCUCCGAGAUAUCCUCUCUCCUCUGUAUAGCUGCCUCUUCUUUUAAAGGGGAAUAACCUUCAGAAAGGACUCGAUAGGAAACCUUGUCUACCUUCCAAAAGUGCCCAUGAAACCAUACCAUCAAUAGUUGAGCACAUCCAAUAAAUUGCCCCUCGCCUGUGUUCCGACAUGAGCUCAAAGAUCUGAACGUUUCUGUCAAUAUUACCGGUACCGGUGUGAUUCCCUUUUCAAGGCGAUCGAACAAGUCGAUGACCGCCUCGUCCACGUGCCUCAAAGCCGUAGGAAAGAUCACUAAUCCGUAGAUGCUUAAGGCAAAUAUAUCGACCCUCUUUCUUUCGUCUGGAUGAGUCAAGAUCAAAUCUCGCAAAUUCUCCCAAGGGACACAUUUGCUAUCUCCUUUUUGCUGAAUCCGAGCAGUGACCCAAGGCUCGCUCAUCCCAGAAACGCUCAUCAGUUUCUUCACGAAAGCCUGAUUACUAAAAACCCAGGCAUAAGUCUUCCAGACCUGAAUCUUUGAACAUCUAAGCAGCGUAGUGUAUUCCUCCAUGGUAGGUACCAAAUCCACUUCUCCAAAAGUGAAACACUUGUACACAGAAUUCCAAAACUGCACCAAGGCUCGGAACAAAUGUUUAUCCACUCUAAUAUCUAGCAGGUAGGAUAUGUCACCAUAGCUUUGGUAAAACAACUACUUGAUUCCUCCAUUCCAACUAGCCCAAAUGUCUCUCAACUCUUGCAGCUCAUUUUGUACUACAUUGACGCGAGUGAAAUCCUGCAGCUCCAACACAUACCCUUUUGCCAAGCUAUCCCCCUUUUCAGAUUGUAGCCUCUCCGACCAAGCACGAAGGGCCGCAUUAUCCUCGACUUUACUAAGAAAUUCAUUCUCCAUGUCAAAUUUUCUAACUUAGUAAUUGAAUGUGGAUUAACGCCUCCUUUAGUAUGUAAUGUCAUGCAAAAAAGACAAUCAAAACAAAACACCGGUUAGUAUCAAAUAAUAGCGAUAAAAUGCAAGCACAUAAGCGAUAAUCAUAACAUAUAUACGGGUAAGUACUAAGGCUCGACGCGGCUUCACCCAAUGAUAGCUCCUAAGGUUCACUAUAUGUGGUUUAGUUCUAGGAAAAAGGGUACCCAAACCAGCAGAUUCCUCAAUCCUCACCCAUUACAGGCUCAUAUAGAUCGAGUUCGGUUCGGGGGGAUACAUUUCCCUAUGACCAUGCAGAGAUGAAAAUCUCACGAAAUCAUAGGUACGGAUGUACCCCGGAAGCAAUCCACUAGCCCAUGCGGAGGUGAAAACCUCACGAAAGCGUAGUUUCUUACUCCCACUUAGAAGGUGUGACCACAGUGGUCAUGCAAUAAAAUGCAAUGCUAUUCUACAAGACCCGCACCGAAACAAACAUUCAAUCAAAUGCAAUCGAAAGAUACAUGAUUUUUAAAACAGAUUUUGAUUUUUGACAAAAGGACAGCAAAUAAUCAAUUUUUAUGGCUAGACUCUCUUAGGUUCCCCAGCGGAGUCGCCAAGCUGUCGAAACCACCCUUUUUUCAAACAUUUUAAAAUUUUAAAUUUUAAUGAAAAUACGGGGGAAUCGAAUUUUUAAAAAUAAAACGUGGAGUCGCCACCGAUCUUCUAUUUUAGUGUGAUCGGAUCACUUAAAAGAUAAGGUUAGUUUAAUGAAACAUUUUUUGGUUUAUUAAGACUCGGUUUUGGUCUUACGAAAAUGUGAGAAAAUGGGUUCGGGAGUUGGUUACGCAUGAGGAAGGAUUAGCACCCUCACUACGCCCAAAAUCGGUACCAAAUCGAUUAAAUACUGUCCUUAUGUCAAAGCUUAAAAAAUGUUUUUGAAAUGUGGUUCUUAUCAAUAACGUUUAAAUAACCCGAGUGGGUUAUCAAAAUCUUCUUGUUUCGAUGUCCGAAAGUCUACAAUUUGAAAUUAACAAAAGGAUGCCCAACUGUUUGGUCCAACGAAAAACCAAAACCCAGCACAGUAGGGCACGAUUCCUCGAAUUUCCAAACAUUGUCCAUUCUUACCUUAGAAAAUAAGGGUGAAAUUCCGAAGGGAUCCUUGAUGGUUUUGAGCAAAUGGAAAAGCGCAACCCAGCACGAUAGGGCUCGAUUCUCAAAUUGCCAAACAUCGAACAUCACCUUCGUUUUGAAAGGUUUUUAAUAAUUAUGAAUAAAGACCUAAAGGAAUACUCGAUUGUUUUGAACAAAUGAGAAAUCACAACCCAACACGAUAAGACAUGAUUCUCGAAUUGUCAAACACCGAGUAUUGCCCUCAUUUUAAAGGAUUUCUAGAAAAGCCGAGUGAAAUUUUGAAGGGAUAUUUGAUUAUUUUAAACAAACGAGAAAUUGCUACGCAACACGUUAGGGCAUGAUCCCACGAAUUACCAAAUACCAGAUAUUGCAUUCAUUUUAGGGAUUUUAAAAGACACGAGCGAAAUUUUAAAGUGAUAUUCGAUUAUUUUGAGCAAAUGCAAAAUUGCAACCCAACACGUUAGGGCACGAUUCCGCGAAUUGCCAAACAUCAAAUCUCAUCUUUGUUUAAGGGAUUUUAAAAGAUAUGAAUGGAAUUUCGAAGGGAAAUUCGAUUAUUUUGAGUAAAUGCAAAAUUGCAACCCAACACAUUAUGGCAUGAUUCCGCGAAUUGUCGAACAUCAAAUUUCGUCUUCAUUUUGAAGAAUUUUUGGAAGAAUACUUAAAAACAUAUUAAUUCGAUUUGAAAUAAGAUGACAUUAAUCGUAAAAAAUUGGGUUUUAGAACCACAUUUCAAAAAUCAAAAGGAAAAUAAUGAAUGGGGUAAUAUGUACAUGCGAGACGCAAUGCUUAACGAAUGAAAAUAUUAAUCAAUUAGCAGAACAAGUAAUUAAAUAUAAUUAGUCUAAGUUAACCUAAUUUCAAUCGCGUAAUAAUAAUCGUCAUGUCAAUAAGAUGAAUACCACGUGAUGAGAAUGUAUAUGCUACGAUAUAGAACAAUCGACGAAAUAUAUGCAAAACGGAAUAGAAUUUAAGAGUCAAAGUAGUAUAAAACGAUGUCGGAACAAAGGCGAUCUAAUGAACCAAUAAUUUAUGCUACAUGCGAAUUAAUGAAUUGAGACACCUUAAAUCUAAAAAAACUAGGGAUAUAUAUACUUGAUACAUAUUAUAAAAUGAAUGAAUUAAUCGGAUAUCAUGCCAAAACAUUAAAUAAUAUUGGUUUUAAAAAAAAUGAAGAAUUAUAGUAUGAAAAUUUUAAAAUAUGUGUAGAUAUAUUAUGAAUAAUAAUAAUAAUAAAUGUAUAAUAUGAUAUAGUCUUUAAAAAAACGUAAUGGUUCCACAAAUUAUGUGUAUAUAUAAAUAAUUUUUAAAAGUAACUAUUUGUAAAACAUGGAAAUACAUGCAUGCUUAUGAAUGUAAAAAAAAAUAUAUAUAUAUAUGAUAGCUUCAAGAGUGUGUUUGUAUAUGCGUAAUAAGGAAAACUAUGUAAAAUACAUAAAUUAAAUAAUAUCUAUCUAGAUCAAAUAUAAAUAUUAAUAUAUACAUAUAUACAUAUAAUAAUAAUAAUUUAAGAGAUGCGUUUUGUAGGAUUUUAAAAUACAAGGAAAAAGAAUUGAUAAUGAUAUAUGUACAUAUGAAAUAAGACCAAUUUUAAUACAAAAUAUACAUGUACGUAAACAAAAUGGACUAAAAACAUACUAAUGUGUGCAAAGUAUAUUUAUUUUUUAAUGAAAAUAUAUAUAAGGUUUAUAUAUAUACACGCAUGGAUUCAAAAGAAAGAAUGUAUGUGUCUAAAGGUAAGUACAUGUAAAUUUAUAGAUAGGGUAAACUAUAAAAAUAGUCACUUUUGUUUGCCUCAUGUUACAUUUUAGUCACUUAUGUUUGAAAUGUUACGAUUUAGUCACCUAUGUUAUUAUUUUGUUACGAAGUGAUCACUCUUCCGUUAAGUUUUGUUAUCUCCUUAACGGUAAUCCUACGUGGCAGUCCAACUAGAUAUUACUGAAUCUGCUAAUACAUACUUCAUCCGGAUAAAGUAUGCAUUAUUAAAAUUAAAUUAAAAUAUUAAAUAAGAAAUAAAAUUAUGAAACAAUAUGUUAUUUGGAAAAUUACUAUUAUUGUAAUGAGAUACAUGUUUUAUUAGGUAUAAGUAUUUAAAAUUUUGCUUUUGUAAUGUGAUACAUGCGUAAAUAUAUAUUAUAUAUAUAAUCAUAUUAGUGAAUCUGCUAAUACAUACUUCAUCCGGAUGAAGUACGUAUUAGCAGAUUCAGUAAUAUCUAGUUGGACUGCCACGUAGGAUUACCGUUAGGGAGAACUUAACGGAAGAGUGAUCACUUUGUAACAAAAUAAUAACAUAAGUGACAAAAACGUAACAUUUCAAACAUAAGUGACUAAAAUGUAACAUGAGGCAAACAAAAGUGACUAUUUUUAUAGUUUAACCUUAUAGAUAAUGUAUAUACAUACUCAAUAACUUAUAUGAAUCAAAAGCAUGCACUAAUAUCCAUGGAUACAAAAUAGUUUAAAUCCAAUGUGAAACACAUAUAAAGCAUGUUUGAAAUAAAAAAAUGUUGAAAUGCAAUGAUAUAUUUAUAGAGUCCAAAGCCAUUAUGCAUAAAAGUAGAUUAACAUUAUUAUAAUAUAUAUAUAUGUAUAUAUAAUAAUAUAGAUGAAACCAAUGUUUAAAAUGUACAAAACAUGAUACUAGGAUUGCUAAAAGAGAACAGUUUACAACAAUGGAAUAACUAUGACUUAAAAUUAAAAAUAAUUAAUUAAGAACACACAAAAGGGCUACGAACUAAAGGACUUAAUCGAAAUUAAGCUAAAACAAGAGGGGAAAAUUAAGAAAAUAGAGCAAAUAAAAAGGGGACCUAUGCGCGAGGCGCGAUAAUGCAGGAGGAUCUAAACUGGAAAUAUUCCAGUCCUUACAAUGCAGCAUUAAAACGCGGACUUGAUCGCAAACACACGCAAAUUAUGGGUGAAAUUUAAAAAAGAAAAAAAAUGAGAACAUUGAUUGAUUUGAAAAUGGAGCUAAAAGGAAGGGACCAAGCCCGUAAAUAGCCCUCACGGCAAAAACGCGCGGGUCCUCGGGGCACCUGGGGACGGGUCGGGUCAGGCUCUCUAGACGGUGUCGUUUUAAGGCUACAGAUCAUGCCUUAAAUGGCACCGUUUCGCAUCACCGAAUAAAUGAGGACAAGGCCUCUGAAAACCCUAGGCAUUUCAAUCAAAGCAACGGAGAAAGGGGGGAACCCAAAGGUUCUGCGCCGUUCGGCCAUCAUUUCAUCACUGCGACGAUGAAUGACGACCUUCGGUGACCACCCCCUUUUUGCUCCUUCAUUCGAUCCGGCAUGGAACUCAUCGAUUUAAGCCCCGAAAUCCCAUCUCCGACUUCGAUUUCAGUGAAGGAGACAAGGUCUUCAAUGGCUCGUAUGCAAAGG
This 16784-nucleotide long non-coding RNA is filed under the name Gossypium barbadense (sea-island cotton). RNAcentral's name for it is "long non-coding RNA (GBAR_LNC004860)". Lineage: Eukaryota; Viridiplantae; Streptophyta; Magnoliopsida; Malvales; Malvaceae. The record is from RNAcentral.